UAAAGUGGAGCUACUCACAGCGAAAGAUAACAAGACCAAAACUCGGAAGCAGUGGUGGGGUGCGCGUGACUCACGUAUAGACAUGUAAGAGACAGCACGAGAGUCUGAAGGCGCUGGCCCAGGGCCUCCUGGGGGCAGAGCGCACUCCUGCCCGGGCUGUCGUUCGGAGCUGCGGCCGGCAAGGCCUCCUGAGCCCAGAGAGAGAGAUCCUGCAGCCCGGCCUGCGAGGCCGAGACGGCGCCGCGUGGCUCUGGAGACCUGCCUCUGAACCGGCAGGCGGGCCCGCCCCCGGCCCUGGAGCCGUGACUAACACUUGUCGCACCUGGCACGUGCCCGCCUUUGUCUGCCCGGCACGGGCCCACUAUCAGGUUUCCCGCAGCCGGCCGCGCGGGCGUCGCUGUGGAAUGCCGGCACCGCUGAUGCUCUGCGUGGCGCUCCCCGUGCCUGCUCGGCCUUCAGAAUUAAGUUUCCCCCUCCGGCCCGAGUGGUUUGCCGUCGUCCUUGGUGUGUGCCUGUUUCCUGGCUCUGGGUUCCUCCUCCCUGGGGCGUACAGGGUGCUGAGCUGGGCAGAUGAGCAGGCCACUGCCCCGGGUCCUGGAGGCGGAAAUGGAUUGGCGGGCUCAGCCCUGCCCCGGGGGCAGGGGCGGGGAGGGACAGGCCAUCCCUCUGAGUGGAGCGUGGCCACUGCCCUGGGCACCGGCAGGAGAGGCGGGUCCAGGGAGGAUCGUAGGUGGGGAGUCUGCGCCGAGUGCCGUCGCCGAAGCACUCGGGAGGCACUCUGGGCAGCGGCUGUAGGGGCCGGGCCAUCCGCACCAGACGGUGUUGGCCAGGAAGAGGGUGGACCCUUGCAUGUCCCAGAGGACCUGGCCGGGAGCAGCAGAACUGCGAGAGACCCCAUGGAGUGAAGCCCCCAGGCUCAGGGGAGUGUGGACCCCUGCCCGCCAGCCCUGGCGCCUUCCUCGGGCCGCUGUGGGAGAAGACCCCGGAGCCUGUGGUCUGCAGCCUCACCCUUGGCAGGGCCGGCACUGGGCGAGGGACAGCAGUGUCGCCCAGCACAGGGAGAGAACGCUCGGGAGAAACGGCAGUCGCUCGUUUCCGCCGCUGGCUUUCCUUGUUUUUAAGACGUGCGUAGGAUUCCCCGACGGGGGCAGAGGGCUGAUAAGUGCGGAGACGGGAGAGACUGAGGCCACUGCGGGAGGCCGUGAGCAUCGGGUGCUGUUGCUGGAACGCACACGCGGGGCCCCGUGCCCACCCUGGCCUCCGGUGGCUGCACCCCCCACGGCUGGCGCGGCGUUGGCCCCGGGUCUGUCACCCCAGCUGUCGCUGUGCAUCAGCUGGUGCCCGGCCGGCUGAAUGCCCUUGGUGGGGGCGUGGUCCUCACGGAGCAUCAGGUGGAGCCCGCGCCCCAGGCCCACGGCGCUGGCGCUGCCGCUCGGCCUCGCGUCCCCGACCCCAGGGCCUUUGCCUGCGCCCCCCUCCUCGGUCCUGCUCGGCUGUUCGGCUCAGAGGCCAUCUCCCAGGAGAGGCCACCCGGGGGUCCUCAAUAAAGGCGCCCUGGCCCCCCGAUGCUGUGUGGGG
Long non-coding RNA from Oryctolagus cuniculus (rabbit), 1578 nucleotides. The record is from Ensembl. NCBI's taxonomy places the organism in Eukaryota, Metazoa, Chordata, Mammalia, Lagomorpha, Leporidae.